UGUGGUUAAUUCGAAGCAACGCGAAGAACCUUACCAGGUCUUGACAUCCCUGACAACCCGAGAGAUCGGGCGUUCCCCUCGGGGGACAGGGUGACAGGUGGUGCAUGGUUGUCGUCAGCUCGUGUCGUGAGAUGUUGGGUUAAGUCCCGCAACGAGCGCAACCCUCGACCUUAGUUGCCAGCAUUCAGUUGGGCACUCUAAGGUGACUGCCGGCUAAAAGUCGGAGGAAGGUGGGGAUGACGUCAAAUCAUCACGCCCCUUAUGACCUGGGCUACACACGUGCUACAAUGGGCGGUAUAAAGGGUCGCGAACCCGCGAGGGGGAGCCAAUCCCAAAAAGCCGCUCUCAGUUCGGAUUGUAGGCUGCAAUUCGCCUACAUGAAGCUGGAAUUGCUAGUAAUCGCAGAUCAGCUACGCUGCGGUGAAUACGUUCUCGGGCCUU
RNAcentral lists this ribosomal RNA (441 nucleotides) under uncultured Anoxybacillus sp. RNAcentral describes it as "bacterial SSU rRNA". It matches the Rfam family "Bacterial small subunit ribosomal RNA", at positions 940 to 1382 of the family's 1533-position model. Lineage: Bacteria; Bacillati; Bacillota; Bacilli; Caryophanales; Anoxybacillaceae. The record is from RNAcentral.